RNAcentral lists this unclassified non-coding RNA (363 nucleotides) under uncultured fungus. RNAcentral describes it as "sequence contains ITS1". The stretch from base 1 to 104 matches the Rfam family "5.8S ribosomal RNA", at positions 50 to 154 of the family's 154-position model. Lineage: Eukaryota; Fungi. The record is from RNAcentral.
AAAAUGCGAUACGUAAUGUGAAUUGCAGAAUUUGUGAAUCAUCGAAUCUUUGAACGCAAAUUGCGCUGUUGGGCAUUCCUGACAGCAUGCUUGGCUGAGUAUCAUCUGGACAAAUCAGCAAAAGUUUUUAUUAUACUUUUGUGGACAUGAGGCGUCACAUUGCGCUCUGCAAUGGGUCCCUUUAAAUGCAGUUAGGUGAAGAGGGCUGGCGUCCUUGCAACCACUAGUGUGUCAAUUGCUCUUGCGAGCAUCAAUGCGCUAUGUCGGGGGCUUGGGCACUCAAAGUCGGCGUCUCCUUAGCCUCUGGUUAAACUCUUUUGAAACUUUGAUCUCAGCUCAAGCAAGACUACCCGCUGAAUUUAA